CCUUCCUACGGGGGGCAGCAGUGGGGAAUAUUGGGCAAUGGGCGCAAGCCUGACCCAGCAAUGCCGCGUGAAGGAAGUAGGCCCUCGGGUUGUAAACUUCUUUUAUCAGGGACGAAGGAUGUGACGGUACCUGAUGAAUAAGCUCCGGCUAACUACGUGCCAGCAGCCGCGGUAAUACGUAGGUGGCAAGCGUUGUCCGGAUUUACUGGGUGUAAAGGGCGUGUAGCCGGGUUGACAAGUCAGAUGUGAAAUCCUGCGGCUUAACCGCAGAACUGCAUUUGAAACUGUUGAUCUUGAGUACUGGA
RNAcentral lists this ribosomal RNA (305 nucleotides) under uncultured bacterium. RNAcentral describes it as "bacterial SSU rRNA". It matches the Rfam family "Bacterial small subunit ribosomal RNA", at positions 334 to 653 of the family's 1533-position model. The record is from RNAcentral.